AAAUUGAAGAGUUUGAUCAUGGCUCAGAUUGAACGCUGGCGGCAGGCCUAACACAUGCAAGUCGAACGGUAACAGGAAACAGCUUGCUGUUUCGCUGACGAGUGGCGGACGGGUGAGUAAUGUCUGGGAAACUGCCUGAUGGAGGGGGAUAACUACUGGAAACGGUAGCUAAUACCGCAUAAUGUCGCAAGACCAAAGAGGGGGACCUUCGGGCCUCUUGCCAUCGGAUGUGCCCAGAUGGGAUUAGCUAGUAGGUGGGGUAACGGCUCACCUAGGCGACGAUCCCUAGCUGGUCUGAGAGGAUGACCAGCCACACUGGAACUGAGACACGGUCCAGACUCCUACGGGAGGCAGCAGUGGGGAAUAUUGCACAAUGGGCGCAAGCCUGAUGCAGCCAUGCCGCGUGUAUGAAGAAGGCCUUCGGGUUGUAAAGUACUUUCAGCGGGGAGGAAGGGAGUAAAGUUAAUACCUUUGCUCAUUGACGUUACCCGCAGAAGAAGCACCGGCUAACUCCGUGCCAGCAGCCGCGGUAAUACGGAGGGUGCAAGCGUUAAUCGGAAUUACUGGGCGUAAAGCGCACGCAGGCGGUUUGUUAAGUCAGAUGUGAAAUCCCCGGGCUCAACCUGGGAACUGCAUCUGAUACUGGCAAGCUUGAGUCUCGUAGAGGGGGGUAGAAUUCCAGGUGUAGCGGUGAAAUGCGUAGAGAUCUGGAGGAAUACCGGUGGCGAAGGCGGCCCCCUGGACGAAGACUGACGCUCAGGUGCGAAAGCGUGGGGAGCAAACAGGAUUAGAUACCCUGGUAGUCCACGCCGUAAACGAUGUCGACUUGGAGGUUGUGCCCUUGAGGCGUGGCUUCCGGAGCUAACGCGUUAAGUCGACCGCCUGGGGAGUACGGCCGCAAGGUUAAAACUCAAAUGAAUUGACGGGGGCCCGCACAAGCGGUGGAGCAUGUGGUUUAAUUCGAUGCAACGCGAAGAACCUUACCUGGUCUUGACAUCCACAGAACCUUGUAGAGAUACGAGGGUGCCUUCGGGAACUGUGAGACAGGUGCUGCAUGGCUGUCGUCAGCUCGUGUUGUGAAAUGUUGGGUUAAGUCCCGCAACGAGCGCAACCCUUAUCCUUUGUUGCCAGCGGUCCGGCCGGGAACUCAAAGGAGACUGCCAGUGAUAAACUGGAGGAAGGUGGGGAUGACGUCAAGUCAUCAUGGCCCUUACGACCAGGGCUACACACGUGCUACAAUGGCGCAUACAAAGAGAAGCGACCUCGCGAGAGCAAGCGGACCUCAUAAAGUGCGUCGUAGUCCGGAUUGGAGUCUGCAACUCGACUCCAUGAAGUCGGAAUCGCUAGUAAUCGUGGAUCAGAAUGCCACGGUGAAUACGUUCCCGGGCCUUGUACACACCGCCCGUCACACCAUGGGAGUGGGUUGCAAAAGAAGUAGGUAGCUUAACCUUCGGGAGGGCGCUUACCACUUUGUGAUUCAUGACUGGGGUGAAGUCGUAACAAGGUAACCGUAGGGGAACCUGCGGUUGGAUCACCUCCUUACCUUAAAGAAGC
This 1554-nucleotide ribosomal RNA is filed under the name Escherichia coli. RNAcentral's name for it is "bacterial SSU rRNA". It matches the Rfam family "Bacterial small subunit ribosomal RNA". Lineage: Bacteria; Pseudomonadati; Pseudomonadota; Gammaproteobacteria; Enterobacterales; Enterobacteriaceae. The record is from RNAcentral.